Molecule: long non-coding RNA, 1556 nt
Organism: Xiphophorus hellerii (green swordtail)
Lineage: Eukaryota; Metazoa; Chordata; Actinopteri; Cyprinodontiformes; Poeciliidae
Exons: 2
Source: RefSeq, a predicted model, not a curated record
CUGGAGGAACUGCUGGGAACCGUAACUCAGGUGGGAGAGUCUGGGCCGGGGUUCUCCCAAAGUCCCCGGGAACCAUUUCUGACCUCUGGGCUGAUUUUGUUUCAGCCCUUCAACUGCAGCUAAAGAAUGAGGCAAAUUUCCCAAGUAGCAAACGAAUUUUCAAAGGAUGUCGGCUGAAAGUGGAAAGCUCGAUGUGGGUUGUCUGAAAGUUCACUCUGAACAUUCCACUCAGUGUCUUGCGUUUCUAUUACAAAUGCGCCAAAUGCUGCUAAUGUUUCCAUUAAGUAAGAAACGCAAUUAAAGUCACACGUGAGCAAGUCUGUUCACGUUUUAAGUCAUUAAAAAACACGCUGCGCUGCGAUCCUCUAACUACUUCCUGUUGUUUUCUUCUUCGUGGUUUGCGCCGGCGGCAACAUUCGGUUGUUGAUCGUGCGGCUCGUGUGACGCGACAGAAAGUGUUUCCGUUACAAUUUCGCAAAAUAAACCAAUUUCAAUACGGCCAAAAAAAAAAAAAAAUCACCUCGUCAAAGCGGCAAAAACCUUUUAGCGAAAAACGAGAGUUUGUUUGAAAUGAAACUGGCGAGUUUCCAGUCCAGUAAGCAAAUUUAAUUCUUUUUAAAUGUCAAAUUGCGCAAUUCCAUGGUCAAUGGAAAAACAACUGGGAAAAAUUAUGUUUUUGCUGGGAUUUUAUUCAAUUGGUUUUUAAUACCUUUCAAAAAUUUAUGGUGGUUACAAUUUUAUUUUAUUUAUUUAUUUAUUUUUACAAAACCCCAGGAGGAAACAGGUGGUCGACGCAGACGGAGACUUUUGUUUUAAAUUUGAGUAAAAGUAUCUUAUAACUACCUGCCCUGUGACCAUGGAUGGAUGGCUUAUGAGAUACUUUGUGUAAUUUUUUGUCUGAACCCCCCAAAAAACAACUCAAUUGUUUUUAAUACAUAUGUUGUGGAACAAGUUGAGAAAAUAAAGGAUGUGAAAAUUUACUGCGCCAGUUAAAGAAUAAGACAAAUUUCCAAGCUAGCAAGUGAAUGUGUUGGGAUCCGGACCUGUUCAUCCACCAGAGGGCGCUGGAGGCCUUGUUCCAUCUGAGGGCGUCUCCUGAACCACGCACCUGAAACCGUUCUGCCAUCAGGAGCUGUAUAACUGGAGGAGGCUGCUGACACUUCCCUGCCAGAUUGUUAGCUAGUUAUGGUACCGAUUCACUCCAGCUCUACUCUUCCUGUUUGCUUCCUGAAUUCUGAUCCACCUGUGUCUCUGACCUUUUUCAGCUGAUCGACCUGAGACGUGCUGAAGAUAGAUCCAGCCCAGGACCCCCUCCGAACCUACAGCUCGGCAGCCUGCUUCUGGCAGAACAGUUCAGACUUACCUGUCCGCCCUCCAACGCCGCCGCAGCCCGCAGCCCUCCGCGCCUCAAAACAGACUCCGGAUUUCCCAGGUUUUUCCCCCCAGUCCUUUCUCCUCCCGAUCGGAGCUGACCUGAGAUCCAGUCCCAAGCGCUCCCGGAUUGUUUAUCUGUUUUUUCCCCCUUCCCCUUGGUUGUAAUAAAUCUCUUUAAUCAA